GUGGGGAAUAUUGGACAAUGGGCGCAAGCCUGAUCCAGCCAUGCCGCGUGAGUGAUGAAGGCCUUAGGGUUGUAAAGCUCUUUCAGUGGGGACGAUAAUGACGGUACCCACAGAAGAAGCCCCGGCUAACUUCGUGCCAGCAGCCGCGGUAAUACGAAGGGGGCUAGCGUUGUUCGGAGUUACUGGGCGUAAAGCGCACGUAGGCGGAUCGUUAAGUAGGGGGUGAAAUCCUGGCGCCGAACUCCAGAACUGCCUUCGAUACUGGCGAUCGUGGGUCCGGAAGAGGUGAGUGGAACACCUAGUGUAGAGGUGGAAUUCGUAGAUAUUAGGAAGAACACCAGUGGCGAAGGCGGCUCACUGGUCCGGUACUGACACUGAGGUGCGAAAGCGUGGGGAGCAAACAGGAUUAGAAACCCGAGUAGUCC
RNAcentral lists this ribosomal RNA (425 nucleotides) under uncultured bacterium. RNAcentral's name for it is "partial 16S ribosomal RNA". It matches the Rfam family "Bacterial small subunit ribosomal RNA", at positions 354 to 796 of the family's 1533-position model. The record is from RNAcentral.